GUCCUCUCGCGCUUCUCGCCACGCUGCUGAAUUCGGUGGUUGAUAAUUCCUUUGCUGUUUUUCUUUCGUCCUCCCGAAGGUCCUCUUCCGAGUUGUUGUUAUCUUUGUUUUUGCUGCGGCCGUGUUUGCUUCUCCGGUAAGGCUCCCGUGUUGUAUCGAAAUAAGGAAAUAAUAAUACAAUUAAAAAGAUGAAUAAAUCCGACAAAUAAUGCCCCUCUGGAGAUUUCGGUACGGCUCUAAUGUUUUGAGACUGGCGCGGAUGCGUUUUCCGCACUCAGCGAUCGGAGAGGAAUCCGGCGGACGUGCGCGGAACGGCAACGUCACAGUAUAUAAUGGUACAACGACCACUUGGGUGAAAUGAACCAUGGACAACAUCAAAUAUUCUUCUACAAAGUUAUUGAGAGAAACUAUCAUUGGCACUGAAACGGAUUCAAUUCUUUAAAGGGA
This is a long non-coding RNA of Cataglyphis hispanica, 447 nucleotides long. RefSeq lists it as uncharacterized. The record is from RefSeq and is a predicted model, not a curated record. The transcript has 3 exons. Lineage: Eukaryota; Metazoa; Arthropoda; Insecta; Hymenoptera; Formicidae.